GGGGCGGGCCUGCUCAGGGAAGAGACAGCUCCGCACGGCGAGGGCCGGGGCUGCGCGGGGAGAGGUGGGCCUGUGAAGACGAGGGCCGGGCCUGCCCAGGUGAGGGCGGGCGGCUGCAGGGGAGGGGCGGACUUAAGCUGAGCCAGGUGAGUUGUGUGGUCCUAUGGCCACGGGUAGGCACUGGUCUCCAGGAUGGAGGUUGUGUGCCUACACCUCUGCGUGCUCACGCUUCCGUCGGCGGGUUCCUGCAGUGACUUGAGAAGGACGUCCAGCUUCAGGCUCCAGCCAGGUGCUUUAGCCCUGGGCUGUGUGGCUUCUUGGAUAAGGUCCGACGACUGCAUCGCAUGGCUUUUAGAAUCACGAUUCCAUGAUGCCAUGCUCUCAUGAAUGGUCCCAAACAGAACGUCCCCAGUAAACGGCAGGACAGGUCUCGUGCCCCGCACAGUUGUGCGGGCCCACUGAGCCCCCCCCCCCCACCUGCAUUUCGUGUCUGUAAGGACUACACGCCAUGCCCUUCUUAAACCUCAGGGAAUGGCUCAGGUGGGCAGAACUUGAGCAGUGGGCCUGCAGGGGCAUUUGGGAUUAAGCACACCUGGGCCCGGCAUCCGAGGGACUUGGGAGAAGGCAAGACACAAGUUUGCCCUCAGUUUCUCAGAGCCUUCACCUCCUCCCUUCUCUCAUCUCCCUCCUUUCUCCCCACCCCAGGUCUGUAAAGGGACUCAAGGCUUCCUGCCCCUUCUUCCAGGCUCUAAAGAAAGAGCAGUAAGUAGACAGGUGCAAUCCAUCUGAGCGUAGAAACGCUUUGGCAGCAAUGCAGAGCGUAAUCCUGCAGGGAAAAGCCACCAUAUCUACAAAAGCUCUCCAGAAUGAAGAGGAUUCUGCAGUUAACCACGUACAUCUUUAUUGAGAGAACCCGGAUGAACCAGGACGAGCCUCCGGAUGAACCAGUCUGCCGACCCCGUGCGUCAGCUCUGACUUCUGGCCUCCAGAACCGUGAGACAGUACGGUCCUGUGUGCCCCCCAUUUGUGGUACUUUGUUAUGAAGCCCUUGAAAACGAAUGCUGAGAUGUCAAGGUUCGUUGACCUCUGCAGGAAAAACAUGAUGUGGUUUAGCUGAAUAUGCUGUUUUCCAGGAUUGCAUGUCACUGACAAAAUACAUGCUGCAAAUUUUGCAAACCCCUUAUUUCUGAAUCCACCAUGAAGCGCAAGUGAUGACUGUUGGAACUGCAAAGAAACGCCUGAAGAUUAAAACGCCCCAAGAACCAGCUAUCAGGCUGGGCCUCUGACUCCUGCGCAAGGUCACCUCCUUGCUGAGGCAGAAAGGCGCCCCCACGGCGGCGGCGGCCUCCGCGUGGAGUCGCGGCUGCCCGAAGCCCUUCAACAGGACACGAAGCGACGUCCUGAAUGUUGGAAGGCGAUGCAUCGGAGGCUGCGCACCAAGGGUCAGUGCCGGGUGGAAAUGAUCAAACGAGGAGAAGGAAGGAAAACUUGGCACCUGCCAAAGACGGCAACUCAAGCUCCCGUUCCCUUGUGAGUGAUUUGGUAGCUUGCAUAACGAAGCCACCACCAGGCAGAACCAUCCAGCUCAAGGUUCCACGUUUGACCUUGGAUCUGCUCCAUGGUCCUGGAUUACAGGCUCUACAUGAGAAGGCACUUUGUAAUACUUCUGGAAUUGGCUUCAAGGUCGGGGUGCCCCAUGUUCAUUGUCAUUCUUUCGUUCGUAUGUUUUUUUGAGCGCCUAGGAUAGGCUAUGCACUUGGCUGCGGCUAAAUUUUGGGUGAAGAUUUAGAAGUUAGCUCUUUGGGCAGAGAUGAAAGGCAGGGCCCUGCAGUUAUGGACGCUCUGGCCCAGUUAAAAUUAAGGUGUCCGCGGGGUGUGCCUCCAGGGCAGGCUUGGGGAGAACCCUUUGUCUUGCCUUUUCCAGCCGCUAGAGGACGCUCCUGGGUCUCCCUCCAUCUUCAAAGGCAGGAGUGGCUGGUCCAAGCCUUUCCUCUGAUGCCAUUUCCCUGCAUCUGAUGCCUCUGCCUCUGCUUCCCUGACUAAAGACCCUGAUAAUUACACUGGGCCCUCCCUUAGGUCAAGGCCAUCUGCCUGGCAACCCUAAUUCUUCCCUGACACAAACCACAACAGACUCCCAGGCUCCGGAGACCAGGAAGUGGCACGUUUGGGGCCAUUAUGCUGCUUAAGGCAAUGCUAGAAUCAGUCACUUCCUGAAUUAUGCGAUGCCAGGGGUCUUCACAAAGAAAACAUUCAGUUGUUAAAAUUCAUGUCUUUCGAAUCUGUUGUUGAAGGUUUAGAAUAAAAUUGUCUGGUUUCUAUUCCUAAAAA
Molecule: long non-coding RNA, 2328 nt
Filed under: Sus scrofa (pig)
Lineage: Eukaryota; Metazoa; Chordata; Mammalia; Artiodactyla; Suidae
Description: lncRNA (ENSSSCG00050003712.1)
Source: RNAcentral